AGUGAACGCUGGCGGUAGGCCUAACACAUGCAAGUCGAACGGCAGCACAGUAAGAGCUUGCUCUUACGGGUGGCGAGUGGCGGACGGGUGAGGAAUACAUCGGAAUCUACUUUUUCGUGGGGGAUAACGUAGGGAAACUUGCGCUAAUACCGCAUACGACCUACGGGUGAAAGCAGGGGAUCUUCGGACCUUGCGCGAUUGAAUGAGCCGAUGUCGGAUUAGCUAGUUGGCGGGGUAAAGGCCCACCAAGGCGACGAUCCGUAGCUGGUCUGAGAGGAUGAUCAGCCACACUGGAACUGAGACACGGUCCAGACUCCUACGGGAGGCAGCAGUGGGGAAUAUUGGACAAUGGGCGCAAGCCUGAUCCAGCCAUACCGCGUGGGUGAAGAGGGCCUUCGGGUUGUAAAGCCCUUUUGUUGGGAAAGAAAAGCAGCAGGUUAAUACCCCGCUGUUCUGACGGUACCCAAAGAAUAAGCACCGGCUAACUUCGUG
RNAcentral lists this ribosomal RNA (492 nucleotides) under uncultured bacterium. Its description in RNAcentral is "partial 16S ribosomal RNA". It matches the Rfam family "Bacterial small subunit ribosomal RNA", at positions 29 to 507 of the family's 1533-position model. The record is from RNAcentral.